AUGGGGAAAGGGGCAAUGACUUCUCAAUUUCAUCAUCCAGACAAAUUCAUGAAAAUGUGUUUGAAUGCACCAUUUAAAUCGAUAGGAAGCAUAAUGUUGUGUAUCGUCUGGCGUUCACAGGUGGAGAUUCCCAAAAGAGCCAGUAUCUCAUCUGUGGCCUUGAUGGAACCUUCUGGCAAAGUCCUGGCCUGUGGGAACAAUAAUCAACCCUGUAGUCUCUGGCCUCAAACCUUCCUGGAGAGACCGCUCGUAUGGGCUGUCAAGGGGUCAACGGGUUGGAGGAGGCAGGAGCCUAAGUAAUGAGGUAGCAGAGGUAUGUGCAAGAUAACCCCUUACACACAUUGUUACAGCACAAGGCUAGUUGAGACAGUAUUCUGGUGCAGUUGCUUGUUUGUUCUGUGUUUCUCUGUAGUUGUUGCCAUUUUAUUUUACAGUUUCGAGAGACAGUCAAUCACGAAGAGGCACCAAUCCAGUUGUUACAGAAGCAGGUAAGCAUUACUCACUAUAGACUAGUGGUACCCGGGUCAGUUGUUACAGAAGAAGGUAAGCAUUACUCACUAUAGGCUAGUGGUACCUGGGUCAGUUGUUUGUUCACCUGCCCCUGCUCACAAUUGCAAAUCAUUUUUUGUAUAUGAUUAAGUGAAAAUCUGAGGCCCCACACUUGACCCUAACCCACAAAUAUAAAAAAUGCGCCAUAGGCUACAGUCAGAAGGUAGAACGUUUUUUGACAGGGGGUGGAGGAUUGUUUUUUGCGUAAUUUAUGUUUCUUAUAAUUUCUGACAUUUUAGUAGGCUAUUUGUUAGUCAACUUGUUUAUAAUUAGAUGCGUGCAGCUUCUCUUCUGUCAUAAUAUGUUGCCCUAGAAGACUAAAUAAACACUUGCUCACUAGAAUAAUGUCAUAAAUGGUAGAAGGAAGGCUUCAAUCUAGUUGACAUUGGUAAAGUUGUCUCUGUCAUCUCUGCUUCUUUUGCAGAG
RNAcentral lists this long non-coding RNA (975 nucleotides) under Oncorhynchus mykiss (rainbow trout). RNAcentral's name for it is "lncRNA (ENSOMYG00000061412.1)". Lineage: Eukaryota; Metazoa; Chordata; Actinopteri; Salmoniformes; Salmonidae. The record is from RNAcentral.